CACGUAGGCGGAUAUUUAAGUCAGGGGUGAAAUCCCAGAGCUCAACUCUGGAACUGCCUUUGAUACUGGGUAUCUUGAGUAUGGAAGAGGUAAGUGGAAUUCCGAGUGUAGAGGUGAAAUUCGUAGAUAUUCGGAGGAACACCAGUGGCGAAGGCGGCUUACUGGUCCAUUGCUGACGCUGAGGUGCGAAAGCGUGGGGAGCAAACA
This 207-nucleotide ribosomal RNA is filed under the name uncultured bacterium. RNAcentral describes it as "partial 16S ribosomal RNA". It matches the Rfam family "Bacterial small subunit ribosomal RNA", at positions 568 to 774 of the family's 1533-position model. The record is from RNAcentral.